AUAAGGAGGAAGUACCAAAUACUUAAUCAAAUGUAUAGGAUGUUAGAUGUUACUGGUUGAGCUCCAGGACUGGGACUGAUGGACCAGACCAAAGCUGAGUCACUCAAGGGCUGGGACCAGGGCUGGCCAGAAAAUAUGCCAAAUCUGGUAUCUCUCCCAAUGCUGUGACCUUUAACCCUGAGCAAAGUCUUGCUGAGUAGGCACGGUUGUCAGUGACAAACUAGAUUCAGAGGGACUGGGCUAGCCAAUGCCACCCAAAUAGAGAGUGUGGCCAGCGAACUCCAGUCUAGGUCCAAGUGGCCCCCUAGCACGAUCUGCCAGUUCGGGGUGGAGAGCUGCUAUGGGUGUACCGAUGAUCUCCUAUGCAGAGCCAUAUUAUUUCUUCUUUUCUGUCUUCUUAGAAGGCCUCGAAACCCUUUUAACAUCAAGAUUCUCCUGGCUGGAGUGGAAAAGUCUGUGCGCUUUCCAGUUUUCAGGCGCUUUUGCCUGAGUUUGGGUGACUUUCAAGAGCCAAAGUUAACUAAGGCUAAGAAUAGAUAACUCCUUGCUCUGACAGGCUAUGA
Molecule: long non-coding RNA, 563 nt
Filed under: Mus pahari (shrew mouse)
Lineage: Eukaryota; Metazoa; Chordata; Mammalia; Rodentia; Muridae
Description: RIKEN cDNA D530033B14 gene (MGP_PahariEiJ_G0002156.1)
Source: RNAcentral